This 832-nucleotide long non-coding RNA is filed under the name Phaseolus vulgaris (common bean). Its description in RNAcentral is "long non-coding RNA (PVUL_LNC003725)". The record is from RNAcentral. Lineage: Eukaryota; Viridiplantae; Streptophyta; Magnoliopsida; Fabales; Fabaceae.
GACGUUCCUCUUUGCCUGGGUGCAAACAACAUACGAAAGUGCUUGUGUGAAUUUUUUUCAGCGCAGUACGGACCCAGAAUGAAAUUGCAGAAAUUAGGCCGGAAUUUCACAAGUUUCGGUAGAGGAUAGCCUUGGUUUUUACAAAAUUUCUGAAAAAUUCUUCCGGAAUGGUUUUUUCCUGAAAUUCCACCCAAGAAUCUCCACUGAAUUUGGGACAAAACGGGACAAAUUUCAGGUCAAACCGAUGAGUAUUCACCCACGAAAAGAAUCAAACAGUUUCACACACAAACGAACCUUCCUUUCAGCCCUGGCAGUGACGAAUAAAAAAUUUAUUGCCAAUCUUGUGGGACGAAUAUGGGGCUCACACCUCAGCCAAAACUCAACAGACACAGUGACGAAUGUCUGGUAAAAAUUUCAGACCAAAAUACCCAAGGAGUAAGGCGCACUAAGUCCCAGACCGAGAGUGAACAAAACCGGUUUUCCGAAAACAAAACGUCCUGGCUUUUCUUCCCCGUAUCUUCUUUCUAUGAUCCGUUUAUGGACGUUCCUCCUUGCCUGGGUGCAAACAACAUACGAAAGUGCUUGUGUGAAUUUUUUUCAGCGCAGUACGGACCCAGAAUGAAAUUGCAGAAAUUAGGCCGGAAUUUCACGAGUUUCGGUGGAGGAUAGCCCCUUGGUUUUUGCAAAAUUUCUGAAAAAUUCUUCCGGAAUGGUUUUUUUCCUGAAAUUCCACCCAAGAAUCUCCACUGAAUUUGGGACAAAACGGGACAAAUUUCAGGUCAAACGGAUGAGUAUUCACCCACGAAAAAAAUCAAACAGUUUCACACACAAA